This 31-nucleotide non-coding RNA is filed under the name Homo sapiens (human). Lineage: Eukaryota; Metazoa; Chordata; Mammalia; Primates; Hominidae. The record is from RNAcentral.
GCCCUGAGGUAAACGAUAGGUGAGGUCUUGA